GAUGAAGAACGUAGUGAAAUGCGAUACUUGGUGUGAAUUGCAGAAUCCCGUGAACCAUCGAGUCUUUGAACGCAAGUUGCGCCCGAAGCCAUCAGGUUGAGGGCACGUCUGCCUGGGCGUCACAUAUCGUUGCCCAAUGCCUAUUGCAGUGCAAUAGGAAUUUCUAGGGCGAAUGAUGGCUUCCCGUGAGCGUUGUUGCCUCGCGGUUGGUUGAAAAUCGAGUCCUUGGUAGGGUGUGCCAUGGUAGAUGGUGGUCGAGUUAGAACGAUACCGAUCAUGUGCAUGCUCCCCAAAAUAUGGCCUCUAUGACCCACACGCGUCUUUUGACGCUCAUGACGAGACCUCAGGUCAGGCGGGGCUACCCGCUGAAUUUAAGCAUAUCAUAAGCGGAGGA
This 394-nucleotide unclassified non-coding RNA is filed under the name soil metagenome. Its description in RNAcentral is "partial contains 5.8S ribosomal RNA, internal transcribed spacer 2, and large subunit ribosomal RNA". The stretch from base 1 to 122 matches the Rfam family "5.8S ribosomal RNA", at positions 35 to 154 of the family's 154-position model. The record is from RNAcentral.